Small nuclear RNA from Talpa occidentalis (Iberian mole), 192 nucleotides. RefSeq annotates it as U2 spliceosomal RNA. NCBI's taxonomy places the organism in Eukaryota, Metazoa, Chordata, Mammalia, Eulipotyphla, Talpidae. The record is from RefSeq and is a predicted model, not a curated record. The transcript has a single exon.
AUCUUUUGGUCUGAUGCCUGAAAACACAAGCAUAUUUGAAUCUCCUCCUAUCAAUUUAAUAUCUGAUAUAUCCUCUAUCCAAGGACAAUAUAUUAAAUGGAUUUUUGGAGCAGGAAGAUGAAAGAGGAACUUGCUCCACCCACUCCAUGCAUGGACCUGGUAUUGUAGUACCUCCAGGCACAUGCACCCGCC